UGAGAGGGAAUUCCAUGGGAAUUGUCAGGGGGAAUUCCAAGAGGGGAAUAAAUACUCGGACUUUUUAAUUGAUUUAAUUUAAUUAAUGUCCGCUCUAUAACCACAUUUAUCAUUAAACUCCAACAGAAAUAUUAAUUAGCAGUGGGCACAUAUUCCAUAGCUAAUUAAUUACCAUUAAUUAACGAACGGGAAGGAUCAGUUUUUAAUUAAAAUAUCCUGAAUUAAUUUGCAUUUCCCCCUUGCAGGUGAAGAAAACGCUCAAGAAACGAGUCCUGAACCCCAAAAAGGCUCCAGGCAGCACCAAGAAAAUCCCAAGCAGCAGCAGCAAGGCCCUGCCAGGGAAAAAGGAAAAAGUGAAGAAAAUUCUGGGAGAGAAGAAAGUGAAAAAAGCUCCAAAUGUGGGAGGUGAGGGGGGAAAAACGGGGGAAAAAUUGGGAAAAAUCC
RNAcentral lists this long non-coding RNA (444 nucleotides) under Chloebia gouldiae (Gouldian finch). RNAcentral describes it as "Erythrura gouldiae (Gouldian finch) lncRNA (ENSEGOG00005009221.1)". Lineage: Eukaryota; Metazoa; Chordata; Aves; Passeriformes; Passeridae. The record is from RNAcentral.